GGACUACUAGGGUUUCUAAUCCCGUUCGCUCCCCUGGCUUUCGCGCUUCAGCGUCAGUGUCGGCCCAGCAACCCGCCUUCGCCGCAGGUGUUCCUCUCGAUAUCUACGCAUUUCACCGCUACACCGAGAAUUCCAGUUGCCCCUUCCGCACUCUAGCCCUGCAGUAUCAGUUGACCUUUCCGAGUUAAGCCCGGAGAUUUCACAACUGACUUGCAGAGGCCGCCUACGCGCCCUUUACGCCCAGUAAAUCCGAACAACGCUUGCUCCCCCCGUAUUACCGCGGCGGCUGGCAC
RNAcentral lists this ribosomal RNA (293 nucleotides) under uncultured Acidobacteriota bacterium. RNAcentral's name for it is "uncultured Acidobacteria bacterium partial 16S ribosomal RNA". Lineage: Bacteria; Pseudomonadati; Acidobacteriota. The record is from RNAcentral.